RNAcentral lists this ribosomal RNA (427 nucleotides) under uncultured bacterium. RNAcentral describes it as "partial 16S ribosomal RNA". It matches the Rfam family "Bacterial small subunit ribosomal RNA", at positions 355 to 774 of the family's 1533-position model. The record is from RNAcentral.
UGGGGAAUAUUGCACAAUGGGCGCAAGCCUGAUGCAGCCAUGCCGCGUGUAUGAAGAAGGCCUUCGGGUUGUAAAGUACUUUCAGCGAGGAGGAAGGCGUUGUGGUUAAUAACCGCAACGAUUGACGUUACUCGCAGAAGAAGCACCGGCUAACUCCGUGCCAGCAGCCGCGGUAAUACGGAGGGUGCAAGCGUUAAUCGGAAUUCCUGGGCGUAAAGCGCACGCAGGCGGUCUGUCAAGUCGGAUGUGAAAUCCCCGGGCUCAACCUGGGAACUGCAUCCGAAACUGGCAGGCUAGAGUCUUGUAGAGGGGGGUAGAAUUCCAGGUGUAGCGGUGAAAUGCGUAGAGAUCUGGAGGAAUACCGGUGGCGAAGGCGGCCCCCUGGACAAAGACUGACGCUCAGGUGCGAAAGCGUGGGGAGCAAACA